GAUGAAGAACGCAGCGAAAUGCGAUACUUGGUGUGAAUUGCAGAAUCCCGUGAACCAUCGAGUCUUUGAACGCAAGUUGCGCCCGAAGCCAUUAGGCCGAGGGCACGCCUGCCUGGGCGUCACACGUCGUUGCCCCCCCAUCUACUCCUUCGGGAUUGCGGGGGGCGGAUGAUGACCUCCCGUGCGCCUCGUCGCGCGGUUGGCAUAAAUGCCAAGUCCUCGGCGACGCACGCCACGACAAUCGGUGGUUGCGAAACCUCGGUUGCCCAUCGUGUGCGGUCGUCGCGCAUCGAGGGCUCGAAAAAAUUGCCGGGCUCCGGCUCGGCUUUCAACGCGACCCCAGGUCAGGCGGGGUUACCCGCUGAAUUUAAGCAUAUCAAUAAGCGGAGGA
RNAcentral lists this unclassified non-coding RNA (391 nucleotides) under soil metagenome. RNAcentral describes it as "partial contains 5.8S ribosomal RNA, internal transcribed spacer 2, and large subunit ribosomal RNA". The stretch from base 1 to 122 matches the Rfam family "5.8S ribosomal RNA", at positions 35 to 154 of the family's 154-position model. The record is from RNAcentral.